UGGCAAGGAGGAUAUUCAGUAAAUGAAACUACGUGAUUAAUUUAUACGCUAUUCUGAGCCAGUU
Molecule: small nucleolar RNA, 64 nt
Organism: Hypanus sabinus (Atlantic stingray)
Lineage: Eukaryota; Metazoa; Chordata; Chondrichthyes; Myliobatiformes; Dasyatidae
Product: small nucleolar RNA U54
Exons: 1
Source: RefSeq, a predicted model, not a curated record